Molecule: Y RNA, 102 nt
Filed under: Propithecus coquereli (Coquerel's sifaka)
Lineage: Eukaryota; Metazoa; Chordata; Mammalia; Primates; Indriidae
Description: Y RNA (ENSPCOG00000005051.1)
Rfam family: Y RNA
About the family: Y RNAs are components of the Ro ribonucleoprotein particle (Ro RNP), in association with Ro60 and La proteins.
Source: Rfam by way of RNAcentral
GCCUGGUCUGAGUGCAGUAGUGUUUACACCUAAUUGAUCACAACCAGUUACAGAUUCCUUUGUUCCUUCUCCACUCCCACUGCUUCACUUGACUAGCCUUAA